Molecule: long non-coding RNA, 606 nt
Filed under: Cavia porcellus (domestic guinea pig)
Lineage: Eukaryota; Metazoa; Chordata; Mammalia; Rodentia; Caviidae
Description: lncRNA (ENSCPOG00000039043.1)
Source: RNAcentral
CUGGUGCAUCCCCCUGUCCUUUACCAGAUGCGCCCUCCUUGCCUUCUAGGGACAAUCAGCACUGAGGCAGGGGUUGCUUCUGUCCACAGAUGAGGACACAGAGGCUCCCGGCACACCGAGAAGCCUUGGAGUCGAGCCCCAAGGUCAUCAGCACUGCCCCCUGCCUAGCAGACAGUGUUGGGAACCGGGAGCCACUGCAUCUUCACUCAGUUCCUGGUCACCCCGUGGGCUCCCCAGAAGAGCACGCGUUCCGCGCUUGAUAACCAGCCCCCAGGCCACCCUGCCCUGCCGUCCCCAGCGCCCACAGAACACAUUCGGAAACCCACUGGGAGGAUUCUGGCAAGCAGCCGGCCAGAAGCGAGGGAGGCGCUCACGGCAAACAGCGCCCUGCUUAGCCCGUCUUGUGCUCUCAAUAGCGGCCGAGUGUUUCUAAGAAAAUGGAAAACCGACGCCCGAGGGAGGAGGAAGUCUGCUGCAGGCACGGCCCUCGUGGGCAGUGGGCAGCGACCCGUGCAGCCGACUCCGCGCGCGGGCACCAGGGCUGUCGCCGCGGUGGCAGGAACCAAGGAGAAGGUCCCGGGCGGACCGGGCUCGGCUUCGGAACGC